GCGGCGUCGAGCUUCAUGACGGGCGCCGUCGUCACGGUCGACGGCGGCUACACGCUGUUCUGACUGGGCGGGCGCCGUCCC
This 81-nucleotide transfer RNA is filed under the name Cellulosimicrobium cellulans. Its description in RNAcentral is "tRNA-Arg". The record is from RNAcentral. Lineage: Bacteria; Bacillati; Actinomycetota; Actinomycetes; Micrococcales; Promicromonosporaceae.